RNAcentral lists this microRNA precursor (97 nucleotides) under Marmota monax (woodchuck). The record is from RNAcentral. Lineage: Eukaryota; Metazoa; Chordata; Mammalia; Rodentia; Sciuridae.
AGUGGGAUAGCUGGGUCAAAUGGUUGUUCUAGUGUUUUGGGGAAUCUCCAUACUGCUUUCCAGAUUGGCUACACCAAUUUGCAGUCCCACCAGCAAU